Molecule: long non-coding RNA, 7062 nt
Filed under: Homo sapiens (human)
Lineage: Eukaryota; Metazoa; Chordata; Mammalia; Primates; Hominidae
Description: HSALNT0312996
Source: RNAcentral
GUUCUGUUGUUGGCAACCAACAGAGUUGUUGUCUUUUCUCGCAUUCAUUAAAAUGCACAAGAAGAAAUUUCUAAUGGUGAGGGAGUACUUGCUUCAAAUUCAUACUUCAGUGAAAUAAACAACACCAUACAUAGGAAUGGUUCAGGAAAUACAUGUGCAGUGAAAGCAAAGUCAUCAUACACUGUUUGCUUCAUUGUAUGAGAAUCAAUGUUUGCAUGAUAAACUGCCCUAAUGGAAGAGGACUCUGAGUUACCUUUUUCGAGCAAAGCCACCUAGGUUACUCUGUUUUCCCCAGAGUGACCCUUCUGUUCUGCAAAUUUUCAGAUUGAAGGGAGUAGCAGUAGAGUAUCAGAAGUAUCAGAAGCAAAAAAGUAAAUGUAUGAUUUGCAAAGCAUAACAAAAUGAAAAAUAAGCUUCUGCAGUCAUGGAAGUUCAGAAUUGGAUAACAACUUAGAUUAUUUAUUCCAACCUCAUCGAAAAAGAGAUAAAGACAUGGAAUUCAGGAAAAGUGGUGAGGAAGCAAAUUCAGAAAUGUAUGACUAGGAAUAUGGAAGCAACUGAAUAUGAGGUUAGAAUGUGAAACUGAAUUUAAAGGUGUAACUUGGGCCUGACUGAAAUAUAGCAAUUUAGCAGAAGUGGGAUUAAUUAUGUAGCCUUACCUAGUUGUACACAAGAUCAGGCUGGGACUGAAAUUCUACAAUAUGACUCCAUACCACCAAAAGAAUUCCAGCCCUCUGAGCAGUAGGAAAGAGAGUUUUGUUUUCUUGUAACCAGAACAUAAACUUUUGAUAGUCAUAACCUUUAUUUCAGUCUAUAAAUUUAGAUAUUGAUGGGGUUCAAAACAUUCUAUCCCCAAAUAUGGCACCAUGGAAUUUGAGCAAACGGCAAAAGUAGAAAGAUCACCCUUUGACUUUCUCCUGCCCUCCUCCUCUGAAAUCAGGUCAAGAGCCCCUCAUUUGAGAGGUGCUGUCCCUAUGCCCAGAGGAAAGAACAUCCUUAUCUAUAAAGACACAAAUAUAUAAAAAAUAAUCUGAACAGUAGGUCUUGUUAAGCGACUCCCCCUGAGUUUAUUACCACUGGAUCAUAUCCCUUUGCUUAAUCACACUUCCGUGCAACUGUCCACUUUUGUUCAAAUCUAAGCAUAAAAAUACAUAGGUUUCUCUGUUUCUUUGGGUCUUUAUAUCUGAAGGCUCCUGGCCUAUGUAAAACUCACAUUAAGUAAAUUUGUAGGCUUGUCUCUUCUUAAUUCGUUUUUAUAAGGACCUCAGUCAUGAGCCUAGAGAUAGAAAAGAAAGAUGUUUCUUUUCCCCUAUAGCAUAUUCAAAAGUGUAAAUGAAGUUUAUUCAGGGUCCUUAGUUUUACCAACUAUUUUUUUCUUUCUUGGAUAUACAAAUCUUUAAUACACUAAAUGCAGCUUCUAUAAUUUUAAACAAAUACAUUCUUCAAACCAAACCAAAGAUAGAAUAACUUUUAUAAAACAGGAGACACUUUAGAGGUAUAGUUAGCAGAUAUUUGUAAUUUUCAUGUGUUUGCAGACUCUGCAAUGUUGCUGUCAAUAUAUUUUUAGUUUCUUCCUGUUUGAUAAGGGUAUACCAUACAGAUGCUGCUGUGGAUGCAGUAUUGGCCCCAGUCAGAGUCUUGCUACCAUGAGAAUCUCUGCUCCAGGCACUAUGGUCCUCCCUGGGCUUACUAAGCCAGACAAGCUUCCACAGAGAAUGUGAUGUUUAUUGAACAACAUGGAAAUUGGAUAUAAAACCUUUAUGAGUGUUUGUAUCAGUAAAUUCCCUUGCUGUCCAUUUUCUUUCAGGUAAUGCUGUUUUAAUUAGUACCAAAUGCUCACAUCUAAUUUCUCUGUGGUGGACACUGCAACAAAUAAUUAUGAAAAAAAAAAAAACUUGCUGAUUCCACUGUAAACACUGAAUUGUAUCCAAAAUUGACUUGGUCCUUUACUGCAUUUUGCUUCAGAUUAAUACUUGUAGUUCUGAUGUCAUGUAACACCUACAGAUCAACAACAUCUACAAAUCAUGUAAAAUCUACAGAGAUGCUAGCCAGUUAUAGAGACAUAGCAUGUAAGUUCACGUCUAUGUUGAGAGCAUUGUGAUUAUUUUCCCCUUUAUCAACACUCGAUUAAAUGAGGUGAAGGAAAAGUAGGGCUUCUAGAGACUGACAACUCAGAGGAAUGCUGGAAUCACAUAGGAGUUUGCUAGGAACCCAAAAUCUCAUGUUACCACCACUAACACUACUCAUUCGCCCAAUCAAAUAUAUUACAAUCUGCAUUUCAGCAAGAUCCCCAUGUGAUCCAUAUACACUUUCCUCAGUCACACUUUUCUUAGUUCCUUGUGUAAUAACGACAUUUAACUUUGUAUGAUAGUUUACAUUAAGGUUUACAAAUGUAUGAAUUAGAUGGUCACAGGGAAAGGGACAGGCAGAGAACAAAGAUGUGUUUCUGUACCUAAAUAACAGAUGGAGGUAAGAGUAGCUUUCCUGGAAGUAAAGAUAAAAUUCUCUUCCUCCCUUGGGCAAACACUUAAGUAAAGGAAAUACAACAAAAGAAAAUGAGAAAUGUAUAUUGAGCAGCAUAUAAGAAGGAAAGAUUGUUUUUCUUUCUCAUGUUGAUUAUUGCUACAAUAAUUGCUUCAUGUAUUUUUAAACAAAGAUGCAUGUUACUGAUUAUCUAUCUUUAGAAAAAUGAGGGAUAAUUAUUAGGUUGUUAUCUGUGGAAAAACUAUAUUGAGAAAGUAGAAUAACAGGAUUACGGAGGAAGAAAAAAGACUUAUUGUGCAAAGUGUGAUAUUGAGGAGUAUGCGACUUUCAGAAAAGACACUAAGACUUCAACCUUCUUUUAAAAGAGGCUACUUUAAAUCAUCCCUGAUUGAUAAAAAUAUUUCCCAUAAUGAAAAGCUUUCCACAAAUCUCCUUAUAUUUUUUAAAUAAUACACUGUCCUCAGUGUCACAACAUUAUUUAUUUUUAAUUAAAAAGCAAAGAUAGUUUUUCUAUAAUCUGUGAACUAGGUGAAACACUGGCAGGUUAUAUUAAUUCAUCAUUUCAUAUAAAUAAUUAUUGAACAUCUGGAUAUAAGAAAUGCUACCUUUUUCAUGAUGAGUUUUCUUAAAAUCUAAAAACUGCUGACUGUGAUAAAAAUUAACAAGACCACUUUGAGAAAAAGACUUUAACAGUCACAGUGUCUUAAAAUACUGGAUGUGAGAAUAAUGAACUGUUAUGAGGGGAUUCAUGUUUGCAAAAUGAGCUACCAGUUGAUAAUUAGGGGAGCUGUACAAUACCCUGGUGAGAUAGGUAUGUUUUAUUCCUGCCAUUUUGCAGAUGCAAAAUUGACAUGAGAGAGUAAUGAAGUGUUUGUCCUCAGGGAACCUAGAAAAUCAGCAUCAGCAGAAAGCACUGACUUUCUGAGACAUCUGCUGUGAUGUAAGGUAUGAUGGCCAGUUUUAACACCCACUUACUGGCUGUGUGAUUUUGGUAAAGAUACUUAACCUUUUUGUGCCUUAGUUUCUUAAUCUGUAAAAUGGGAAGAAUAAUAACAUUUUCCUCAAACAUAUGUUGUUAGGAGUAAAUUAGCUAGUCCUUGCAAAACACUUAAAAGAUUACCUGGCAUAUAGUUGGUCAACAAUCAGUAUCUAUUAAUUACCAUCUAUGGGCCUCUCUGAGCACUAAGGAUAAGAAAGUGAACAAAGUAAAUCCUUGCCCUCAAGAGCUUACAUUCUUGUCCUUAACAGAAUGUUCUCUCAGCUGAUGGACAUAUGUGUAUAGGUCUUUCUUAUGAACAGGUAGAAACAGAAAGUCUUGCUGGCUUUCUUUGUUUCUUUUCUGCCUUUAAAAAACUUGUUAGAGGUAAUUUUACAGUGGCUGCAUCAUUUCUUAAUUUCCUGGGAAUGAGUUCUGAACAAAGAGAGAAUUUUACUAAUUCAGCUAGAAUGUUAUUGAAAGGAAAUAGCUGUGUUAGGCAAGGAUUGAGGGUUGAAAUCAAUUCUUUUCUUCAGGGACUCAUAAACUACUGGGGGAAGUCCAGAUCCACAAAUAAAUAACUCUGAUUAGGACUAAUUUUGGUAAAUAUAACUGUUAGAGUCUGAAUGUUUAUGUCCUUCCAAAAUUCAUAUGUUGAAAUCACCUCCAAGGCCAUGGUAUUAGGAGGUGAGGUCUUUGGGAGGUGAUUAGGUGAUUAGGUGAUCAGGGGUGGAGCCCUCAUGAAUGGAAUUAUUGCCCUUAUGAAAGAGACCCCAGAGAACUCCCAUACCCUUCUGCCAUGUGAGGACACAGUGAGAAAACCACUGUCUAUGAACCUGAAAAGGACCUCACCCAAUGCCAAAGCUUCUGGAGCCUUGGCCUUGAACUUCCUGCUUUCCAAAACUAUGGGAAAUAAAUGUCUAUUGUUUAUAAGCCACAUAGUUUAUUAGUUUUUAUCACAUAGCCGAAACAGACUAAGAGAAUAAUGAAAUAACAAAGAAGCAAGAGAAGGAAGUGUGCCUUGCUUGGGCAGAGAAAAAAAGGAGAGGAAAGAGGGAAAAGUAGGGAGGAGAAGAGAAAAGAGGGCACAGGAAGAAAAAUUAAGAAUGUGAACACAAAGGGUAAGGACAGAAGGGAACAGAGAUAAGAGAAGGGUGCUAUGGUUGGAAUGUCCUCCCAAAGUGCUAGGAUUACAGGCAUGAGCCACCGUGCCCGGCCUCAUUUUGAAAUUUAAUUGUCAUUGUAACAGUAUUAAUAGGUGGAACCCUUAAGAGAUCAUUAGGCCAUGAAGGCUACACCCUCUUGGGUGGGAUUGGUGCUUUAUGAAAAGGCAAGUAUGGCCCUCUCCUUCCCCUCUCUUUGCUUUUCUCCUCUUCUGUUGGGUGAGGAAUAGCAUUUCUCCUCUGUGGAGGAUAUGGCAUUCAAGGAGCCAUGUUAGAAAUGAGGAGGGGGCCCUCACCAGACACCAAACCUAUUGGCACCUUGAUCUUCCCAGCCUCUAGAACUGUGAGAAAUAAAUUUAUGUUUCUUAUAAAUUACCCAGUCUCAGAUAUUAUGUUAUAGCAUCACAAAACAAACAAAGACAAAGGGUAUACUUGCUCUUCGAUAUGAAUAGAAGCGGGUUUGGACUGUUUUGAAGGGGAGGACUGAGAAGUUGGGAGCAGAUGAUGUCUUAGUUCCCUCAUUAUAAGAAUGGGCUCUACUGGAGAGCCUAUUGGAGAAAAGCAGUAUUAGUAAGUGAAUAAAAAAAUAAAAAAAAUAAAAAGUUUUGUAACUUUUCUUGACUUCCCAUAUUAUUUUAAAGUGCCUUUCAUAGUCAAGCUGUAUUCACUUGAGUUAAAGGAGAAUGAAAGACUGAGUAUGAAAAAGAAAAGUGACUAAAAAUUAGGGAAUGUAAUUAACUGAAUAAGGAAUAUCUAACUAAUUAUAACCCAUAAAGCAAUAUGUUUUCUUUCUGACAUAUCACUCUUAAUACACACACACACACACACAAACACACUCAGACACAUCACACACACAGAGAAAGAGAAUAAUGCUAGGGUCUUAAUUUUUACAUAUAAUUAUGAUGUUAAGAAUACUGCUCUCUAUGGUGAGGUAUUUUAAAAAGGUGUGUGUGUGUGUGUGUGUGUGUGUGUUUAAUUUCAGUAGAUUUCAAUGAAAAACCAUAGUUAUCAGAGGGAUAGGAUAACAUUAAGAUAAUUUAUCUAUAUAACAGUACAUACACAAACAUUAGCAUUUGACAAUAGCUAGAACUGUAAAAGAUUACCUAGAUCUAGAUCUUUCUAGGUCCUUUUAGAAUCAUAUUAAUUUAUAAAAUUUUGAUUGGAUGAAUGUGGUUCUCUUUCUAUUACAUCUGUAUGAUUUAUCCUAACUUAGAAAUAUUGCAAGUCAUUUUCAUCCUCAAACAUAUCAGGUAUAAAUGACUAUAAAAUUAGACAGUGAUUUUUCUAUGUGUAAAAUAUAACCCUUAUAAAACACAGAGAAAUAUUUUGAUUCUGAAAAGUUGCUUGUAUAUAUAUGCACAUUGCUUGUUAAAUAGUCAGAAAUUUUGAGUGUAUGAAAAUAUAUUUAAACCAGUCAACAGAAAACAUAUGCUUUCUUGUGAUAGUGUGCUAUAGGCUGUAACAUUUGAAAGGCUAGCCCAGCAGAUUUCUGAGCACAUAUUGGCCAGGAUAAUUUGCAGAAUCUGUAUUCCAAUUUAAACUCAGUAAAUUUGUCCUUUCUUAGGCUAUGGAUUUAUCUAUGUCACUUAAAGAUAAUGACAGUUUUUAUUGACUACAUAAUGCUGAAAUUAUUAGAGCAACAAAAAAUGGAUACAGCUAUGCUACUAAGUUACCUCUCCCAUUAUCAAACCUAGAUUAACUCUGAAGCAGUAGAAUAGAGGAAGGUAUGUGUUAUGGUUAAUGUCCCUGCCAAGCUUAUGUUUUAAUUUGAUUGCCAUUAUAACAGAAUCAAGAGAUGGAACCUUUAAGAGGUGAUUAGGCCAUGAAGACUAUGGCUUCAUUUGCGGGAUUGGUGUCACCAUGGGAGUGGGUUUCAUAUUGCAGAAGUAAGCUCCUAAUAAAAGGAUGAGUUUGACUUCCUUUUGCUUCUCUCUCACCCUGGCCUUGCCCUCCCACAAUGAGAUCAAUAACCAAGAAGUUCCUUUCCAGAUGCUGGGUCCUCGAUCUCAGACUUCUUCGUCUCCAGAACCAUAAGCCAAUAAAUUUCUGUUUAUUAUAAAUUACUCCAUCUGUGGUAUUCUGUUACAGCAGACAAAAUAAACUAAGAAAGUAGAGUUCUAUUUCUCCUCUUGCCCUCUAUUUCUUCAGAGGAAGACUAAAUUCCUUUAUGAUUUCCUUUGCUUCUAGUAAGGGACAGAAAUGCAAGAUGUUCCUUCUCAUUGUAAUAUACCACUGGAUAUUACAUAUAAUUUUUACAUUAAAAUUUUUAUUUAACAUUCCCUUUGCAUACUUCUAGAAGUAGUAUUAAGACAAUAAGACACUUCAGAAUUGACUAUGUGGUCUGCUGUAAUAUUGAUGCCAAGAAUAUCAUAAUGGUGAGGAAUGAGAGAAAAAUGCAUAAAGAACAUAAAUAUAAUAAAGGGAAUAAAGUAUAUAAUG